GUCCAGACUCCUACGGGAGGCAGCAGUGGGGAAUAUUGCACAAUGGGGGGAACCCUGAUGCAGCGAUGCCGCGUGGAGGAAGAAGGUUUUCGGAUUGUAAACUCCUUUUAUCAGGGACGAUAAUGACGGUACCUGAAGAAAAAGCAUCGGCUAACUCCGUGCCAGCAGCCGCGGUAAUACGGAGGAUGCGAGCGUUAUCCGGAUUUAUUGGGUUUAAAGGGUGCGUAGGCGGAAGGUUAAGUCAGCGGUCAAAUGUCGGUGCUCAACACCGGCCUGCCGUUGAAACUGGUCUUCUUGAGUGAGCGAGAAGUAUGCGGAAUGCGUGGUGUAGCGGUGAAAUGCAUAGAUAUCACGCAGAACUCCGAUUGCGAAGGCAGCGUACCGGCGCUCAACUGACGCUGAGGCACGAAAGCGUGGGGAUCGAACAGGAUUAGAUACCCUCGUAACG
Molecule: ribosomal RNA, 448 nt
Filed under: uncultured bacterium
Lineage: Bacteria
Description: bacterial SSU rRNA
Rfam family: Bacterial small subunit ribosomal RNA
Source: RNAcentral